AAGACGACCAAUUAUAUUAGUUAGGUCAUAAAUUCCAUUGGCUAGGCUAUGAAUUGUGUCGGCCAAUCAUGAAUUUCAUCUUUUUGGAUCACGGUUACAAACACAAGUUUAAUGGAAAUAAAGUUGCAGAUCAAAUUGAAAAAAAUAUAAGCUGAUUGAUAAAAGAUAAAAUUAGUUAACUUGGAUGAUCAAUACGAGGCAAACCUAUUAGUUGAGAGAAGGAAAUUGCAAUCUUUCCCAGGAUUGUAGUUGGGGUUUCAAGUAGCACAUCUAUAUCAGCGGUGGCGGCGACACGCGGGGGAGGUAUUCCACGUGGCUAUUCAUUGGAUAUUAUGCCUGGCUCCUAUUGUGAUUUCCAACGAAUAUGAGGUCUUCUUCAAAGCUUCUUGAAAGUUUCCGUGUGCAAUCCUUCGAAACCCGUCAG
This 424-nucleotide long non-coding RNA is filed under the name Olea europaea (common olive). Its description in RNAcentral is "long non-coding RNA (OEUR_LNC000110)". Lineage: Eukaryota; Viridiplantae; Streptophyta; Magnoliopsida; Lamiales; Oleaceae. The record is from RNAcentral.